GACGAACUGUCCUAACGCUGUUCGGAAUCACUGGGCUUAAAGGGCGCGUAGGCGGUCGAUCAAGUCAGGGGUGAAAUCCUGCAGCUUAACUGUAGAAGUGCCUUUGAUACUGGUCGUCUCGAGGGAGGUAGGGGUGUGUGGAACUUCCAGUGGAGCGGUGAAAUGCGUUGAUAUUGGAAGGAACGCCGGAGGCGAAAGCGACGCACUGGACCUCUUCUGACGCUGAGGCGCGAAAGCUAGGGGAGCAAACGGG
This 253-nucleotide ribosomal RNA is filed under the name uncultured bacterium. RNAcentral's name for it is "partial 16S ribosomal RNA". It matches the Rfam family "Bacterial small subunit ribosomal RNA", at positions 524 to 776 of the family's 1533-position model. The record is from RNAcentral.